Sorghum bicolor (sorghum) is the source of this 377-nucleotide long non-coding RNA. RefSeq lists it as uncharacterized. The transcript has 3 exons. The record is from RefSeq and is a predicted model, not a curated record. NCBI's taxonomy places the organism in Eukaryota, Viridiplantae, Streptophyta, Magnoliopsida, Poales, Poaceae.
GGAGAGCGACUAAAUCGCUCAUUCCGUGUGCUCCAAAAGCCUGAACGUGCACCAAUUAGAGCAUUGAGGGCUUCUUCCUAUGGACGGUACCUUCUGAUUCUGUUUCGCGAUGCUCCUGUUGAAGUGUGGGCCAUGACAAAGAACUCCAUGAUGCUUAGGUCCUUGGCGCUUCCUUUUACAGUAUUAGAGUGGACGGCCAGCUGCACCUCGGCCAGGUCAAAAUGCAUCAUCUAAGCAGUCUUCAACAUCCAAGGAGCAAUCAGCAGGUGUAAUUUUCAUUCACUAGCACAACUAUAUAGACUGGAUAGAUUGCCUUCUUAAUCAGUUUAUUAUUAAAGAUAAAUUCUUCAGCUCUUAUCAGGAUCUUUUUGACCAAA